AGGGUUAGUUUUAAGAGCAAAGGGCCUUUACUAAAAUGGCGAAGGCCUUCCGUCGGCGUUGUUUUAAAAUGGGAAGCCUCGACCCUGUAUUGAAACUGAGCUGUUCGAAGGCGGCGUUGUGUGCAAUUCGGAUUAAUGAAGGGGAAGGGUUUUGUGUGGAAAAACGCCUUGGAGUGUGACAUUUCUGCGAGAAUGCUUAAAUACCGAUUUCCCGCAGGAACAAUGGCGCUGUCUUCAGUGGCACAGUGGAGCAGCUCUGAAGAUGCAAAGAUACACGAAAAAACUUCCAGAACAUCUGGGAGAAUAUUUAAUGGAAAAUCGCUUGGUUAAAACCUGACACUCUUAACAGGUAUGUGUUGUUUUAGUACUUUAUGAUUGAGCAUACCAUUUAAUCCACACCUAAACUAAAUCAAAUUUUUUUUGUCAGUGAACAGCGUUCUGAGUGUGGACGAGUAGCCAGUGAAGAUAAUGAAUGUCGAACGUGACUGACUAGCAGCUUCAUUUUGAAUGAGGGUCGCUGUCUGCCCAUUGAUAGAGGCCAGAUUGUCUUGGAAGUUCCAAAGUUGCAACGAUUUCUGGCUAGUGCCACGAGGUUUACUUGACUGUUGUGUGAAAAGCUGAUAAGAAAACCAUCCAGAAAAAAGCUCUUCGUUUUACAAACAUGAAAAUAAAACAUGUAAUUUUGG
Molecule: long non-coding RNA, 686 nt
Filed under: Pan troglodytes (chimpanzee)
Lineage: Eukaryota; Metazoa; Chordata; Mammalia; Primates; Hominidae
Description: lincRNA
Source: RNAcentral